GGUUAAGCGACUAAGCGUACACGGUGGAUGCCCUGGCAGUCAGAGGCGAUGAAGGACGUGCUAAUCUGCGAUAAGCGUCGGUGAGGUGAUAUGAACCGUUAUAACCGGCGAUUUCCGAAUGGGGAAACCCAGUGUGUUUCGACACACUAUCAUUAACUGAAUCCAUAGGUUAAUGAGGCGAACCGGGGGAACUGAAACAUCUAAGUACCCCGAGGAAAAGAAAUCAACCGAGAUUCCCCCAGUAGCGGCGAGCGAACGGGGAGGAGCCCAGAGCCUGAAUCAGUGUGUGUGUUAGUGGAAGCGUCUGGAAAGGCGCGCGAUACAGGGUGACAGCCCCGUACACAAAAAUGCACAUAUUGUGAGCUCGAUGAGUAGGGCGGGACACGUGGUAUCCUGUCUGAAUAUGGGGGGACCAUCCUCCAAGGCUAAAUACUCCUGACUGACCGAUAGUGAACCAGUACCGUGAGGGAAAGGCGAAAAGAACCCCGGCGAGGGGAGUGAAAAAGAACCUGAAACCGUGUACGUACAAGCAGUGGGAGCCUCUUAAUGGGGUGACUGCGUACCUUUUGUAUAAUGGGUCAGCGACUUAUAUUCUGUAGCAAGGUUAACCGAAUAGGGGAGCCGAAGGGAAACCGAGUCUUAACUGGGCGUUAAGUUGCAGGGUAUAGACCCGAAACCCGGUGAUCUAGCCAUGGGCAGGUUGAAGGUUGGGUAACACUAACUGGAGGACCGAACCGACUAAUGUUGAAAAAUUAGCGGAUGACUUGUGGCUGGGGGUGAAAGGCCAAUCAAACCGGGAGAUAGCUGGUUCUCCCCGAAAGCUAUUUAGGUAGCGCCUCGUGAAUUCAUCUCCGGGGGUAGAGCACUGUUUCGGCAAGGGGGUCAUCCCGACUUACCAACCCGAUGCAAACUGCGAAUACCGGAGAAUGUUAUCACGGGAGACACACGGCGGGUGCUAACGUCCGUCGUGAAGAGGGAAACAACCCAGACCGCCAGCUAAGGUCCCAAAGUCAUGGUUAAGUGGGAAACGAUGUGGGAAGGCCCAGACAGCCAGGAUGUUGGCUUAGAAGCAGCCAUCAUUUAAAGAAAGCGUAAUAGCUCACUGGUCGAGUCGGCCUGCGCGGAAGAUGUAACGGGGCUAAACCAUGCACCGAAGCUGCGGCAGC
This 1166-nucleotide ribosomal RNA is filed under the name Escherichia coli. Its description in RNAcentral is "partial 23S ribosomal RNA". It matches the Rfam family "Bacterial large subunit ribosomal RNA", at positions 1 to 1209 of the family's 2925-position model. Lineage: Bacteria; Pseudomonadati; Pseudomonadota; Gammaproteobacteria; Enterobacterales; Enterobacteriaceae. The record is from RNAcentral.